AUUCUAAAUUAGUUGAAUCGCUGUUUUCUUACCAGUAUGAAAGGCUAUUAUAGAAAGAAUUUCAGAUAGGAACAUCUAUGGAGUGAACAAACUGAAUCUAUAAUGAAAAUCUGGAGGAAAAUAUACUUAGGAAUUAUCUUCUUUGGGACAUUAUGUUGAUCGAAGACUGGGAAACAUCAGAAAAUAUAGCCAUGCUGGAGUGGAUGCAGAAGAUGGACAGUAUCAGUGUUUUCAGAUGAUGCAUUCUUCAAGACUGGAGCUUCAAGACUGUAAAACCACAUCAUCUUCCUUUUACAACCCUAAGCCUCUCCAACAGCACUCAGCAGACUGUCUUCCCUGGAGAAUGCCAAACACCAGCAGAACUGCCCACAGGAUUGCGGCCAAAGCAGGAGUGCAAGUGAAUUUACUGAUCCCAGCACCUUAUGUAUGGUUGAAAAAUGAAUUUGACUAAUCCCUCCCUGGCUCUUUGCCUUUCCCUUGCACUGCCUCUGUGCAACAACUUUCCUCCUCUGCCCAGAAAGAUGUUUCAUUCAAAGUGACAAGUCCAAAUGAAGAAAUGGUGCAUUCUGGAAGCAAAGAUCUUGAAAAAGAAUUUUAUGACUACUUCCCUCUGGGUUUUGCUUAGAGAGUCUAAGCAGUGAAUCAGUGACAUGAGAAGACCUAGUUCAAGAGGAAGGAGGGUCCGUCUUUCCUUCCUUCCUUCCUUCCUUCCUUCCUUCCUUCCUUCCUUCCUUCCUUCCUUCCUUCCUUCUUUCCUUCCUUCCUGGGAAUCUGGAAACUUAAGUUUUCCAAAAGAGAAGAGAGAAGAAAGACGGAAUGUGACAUUUCUCUGAUAGCUGGAACAUCUUAUUUUACAUCUGUUUCCUUUACAAGGAAGCCCAAGGAGCAAUGAACUCACCAGGAAUAGUAAAGCAUGUGCUUUCUUUUUCGAUUUAAACAGAAACAGUGUAGUUGAACUUGCAAAGACCACGUAACCAGUAAUUUCUCAUUAAAAAAUACAAUUGGGAAAUAUUUUAAGCAUCUUUGUGAGAAAGAUCACAUCUGUGUUAA
This is a long non-coding RNA of Cuculus canorus (common cuckoo), 1050 nucleotides long. RefSeq lists it as uncharacterized. Lineage: Eukaryota; Metazoa; Chordata; Aves; Cuculiformes; Cuculidae. The record is from RefSeq and is a predicted model, not a curated record. The transcript is spliced from 3 exons.